This 497-nucleotide ribosomal RNA is filed under the name uncultured bacterium. RNAcentral's name for it is "partial 16S ribosomal RNA". It matches the Rfam family "Bacterial small subunit ribosomal RNA", at positions 28 to 507 of the family's 1533-position model. The record is from RNAcentral.
GAUGAACGCUGGCGGCGUGCCUAAUACAUGCAAGUCGAGCGAACAGACGCCGAGCUUGCUGCUCUGACGGUAGGGGCGGCCGAGUGGGUAGCAAGAGGAUAAUCACCCUAUCCGACUGGCAUGACUUCGGGAAGCAGGAGCUGCUACCACAGAAUAUAUUGAACCGGAUGGUUGAAUGGUGAGGGACGGUUUUGCUGUCAGUUAUAGAUGGAUCCGCGCCGCAUUAGCUAGUUGGUGGGGUAACGGCUUACCAAGGCGGCGAUGCGUAGCCGACCUGAGAGGGGGAUCGGCCACCCUGGAGCGGAGACGCGGCCCAGACGCCUACUGGAGGCAGCAGUAGGGAAGCUUCCGCAAUGGUCGAAAGCCUGACGGUGCAACGCCGCGGGAGUGAGGAAGGUCUUCGGAUCGUAAAACUCUGUUAUUAGGGAAGAACAAAUGUGUAAGUAACUAUGCACGUCUUGACGGUACCUAAUCAGAAAGCCCCGGCUAACUACGUG